GACGAACGCUGGCGGCGUGCUUAACACAUGCAAGUCGAACGGAAAGGCCCUGCUUUUGUGGGGUGCUCGAGUGGCGAACGGGUGAGUAACACGUGAGUAACCUGCCCUUGACUUUGGGAUAACUUCAGGAAACUGGGGCUAAUACCGGAUAGGAGCUCCUGCUGCAUGGUGGGGGUUGGAAAGUUUCGGCGGUUGGGGAUGGACUCGCGGCUUAUCAGCUUGUUGGUGGGGUAGUGGCUUACCAAGGCUUUGACGGGUAGCCGGCCUGAGAGGGUGACCGGCCACAUUGGGACUGGGAUACGGCCCAGACUCCUACGGGAGGCAGCAGGGGGGAAUAUUGCACAAUGGGCGGAAGCCUGAUGCAGCAACGCCGCGUGCGGGAUGACGGCCUUCGGGUUGUAAACCGCUUUCGCCUGUGACGAAGCGUGAGUGACGGUAAUGGGUAAAGAAGCACCGGCUAACUACGGG
RNAcentral lists this ribosomal RNA (468 nucleotides) under uncultured bacterium. RNAcentral describes it as "partial 16S ribosomal RNA". It matches the Rfam family "Bacterial small subunit ribosomal RNA", at positions 28 to 507 of the family's 1533-position model. The record is from RNAcentral.